This 497-nucleotide ribosomal RNA is filed under the name uncultured bacterium. RNAcentral describes it as "partial 16S ribosomal RNA". It matches the Rfam family "Bacterial small subunit ribosomal RNA", at positions 28 to 507 of the family's 1533-position model. The record is from RNAcentral.
GAUGAACGCUGGCGGCGUGCCUAAUACAUGCAAGUCGAGCGAACAGAUGAGGAGCUUGCUCCUCUGACGUUAGCGGCGGACGGGUGAGUAACACGUGGAUAACCUACCUAUAAGACUGGGAUAACUUCGGGAAACCGGAGCUAAUACCGGAUAAUAUAUUGAACCGCAUGGUUCAAUAGUGAAAGACGGUUUUGCUGUCACUUAUAGAUGGAUCCGCGCCGCAUUAGCUAGUUGGUAAGGUAACGGCUUACCAAGGCAACGAUGCGUAGCCGACCUGAGAGGGUGAUCGGCCACACUGGAACUGAGACACGGUCCAGACUCCUACGGGAGGCAGCAGUAGGGAAUCUUCCGCAAUGGGCGAAAGCCUGACGGAGCAACGCCGCGUGAGUGAUGAAGGUCUUAGGAUCGUAAAACUCUGUUAUUAGGGAAGAACAAAUGUGUAAGUAACUAUGAACGUCUUGACGGUACCUAAUCAGAAAGCCACGGCUAACUACGUG